GAUCUUUAUAAAACUCCUGCAAGUGUUAAGUGUGAUUGAACAACAGCAUAACACUUUCCUAACCGAUUCCCACAGGUCCUCUCGCCGUUGUCUGACUCCAUCCUGGCUGAGAAGACGGUGAUUGUCCUGGAUGACCGAGUCGCCAUCGUGGAGCUGGGAGUGCAGCUCGUAGCUGGCAUGUCUCUCUCCCUGCAGCCACACCGAGCAGACAAAAGGGCCAUCGUCUCCACAGCCGCUGCCCUGGAUGUUCUUCUGUCCCCACAGCAGUUCAAAGCAGAGGCCCCUCAGAGAUGAACACUAGGUACAGAACAAGACUCCUGUCAACCACACUUAGUUCAAGCUGAAGGAACCCGGCCUCUCUUUGCUAAUGUGUUAUUGAAAAUUGGCAUUGCUCAUCAUUAUGGAAACAAAAUUCCCAACACCAUAAUGUUAGUUCAAAGAAGGAAAACAGCAAUCAUUUCCAACACUGUUGAUUUGGAACCCAUUGUUUAAUUCCUCAUGAAUUAAAGCAAAAGACAAUCAGAAAGGCAAUUACCAGUAAGAACUAAAGGUAUCGGCUUCAUUUAUUAUAAAAUAUAAUAAAUUUAAACUUAAUUUAAAAAUCCAAAUGUGGGUUAAGCUUUUGUUUUUCAUUCCUUGAACAAUUUAAAGUUUUAAUAUAAAUAUCUUCUGCUGCAAACAAGACCCUAGAGUCACAGAAGUUUCAGGCUUAAAUCUGCGAGUGUUUCUUUGGCACGUUUAGCUGAGAAUAUGAGAUGGGAAAUGUAUGUGAUUUUAUUCAAUGGGUUCUGAUUAUGUAAUAAAGGGCAAAGGCCUGGGAAACUUUCACAUUUCACUUCCCUGUGUUGGGAUUAAUUUAAUAGUAUCCACUUUCCUGCCCAGAUAAUAAGCUAAAUUCCCAACUGCCCACUUGAAAAAAAUAUGUAUAUAUCUGAGUGCAUGUGUGUAUUACAUAUACAAUUUAGUCUCUGAAUAUACAGAACACUCAAAUCAAGCAGUUGGUUGUGUUAUGAUUUGUAACAUUUUUGGUAUUUAGCAUAAAAAUCAUCUUCUAAAAAAGAGUGUAUAGUCAUUGUAAAUAAUGUUUGAGAAUUGAAGUUCUUGAGGAUUUUGAUAAAAUAUAUUUUUAAAAGAAGGAAUAUGUGUAUUCCAUAUCAAUAUAAAAAAAUUGUAUGUAUUAUACAAUAUGUAUUGUAUUUAUAUAUUGUGUAAAUACAAUGUAUUUAUGUA
Molecule: long non-coding RNA, 1230 nt
Filed under: Homo sapiens (human)
Lineage: Eukaryota; Metazoa; Chordata; Mammalia; Primates; Hominidae
Description: HSALNT0371561
Source: RNAcentral